This 3108-nucleotide long non-coding RNA is filed under the name Prunus persica (peach). RNAcentral describes it as "long non-coding RNA (PPER_LNC003776)". Lineage: Eukaryota; Viridiplantae; Streptophyta; Magnoliopsida; Rosales; Rosaceae. The record is from RNAcentral.
CAACACAUCCACACAAGCUCCCAACUUGAGAGUGUCGAUGGGACACGUGUUCUUUGGUGGUGAUGGGGUUGGCACUGGUGUUGGUGGUGGUGGAGGAGGACAUGGUGUCUCAGUGGGUGGAGGAGGCUUAACUGGUACAACUGGGGUAGGUGUAGGUGUUGGUGGGCUUGGUGGUACAACAGGUGGUGAUGGUGGUGGCUUAACUGGUACAACUGGGGUAGGUGUUGGUGUUGGUGGGCUUGGUGGUACAACAGGUGGUGAUGGUGGUGGCUUAACUGGUACAACUGGGGGCUUGGGUACAUAGGGUGGUGGGGGUUGUACAACUGGGGGCUUGGGUACAUAUGGUGGUGGUGGUUGUACAACUGGGGGUUUGGGGAUGAAGGGUGGGUGCACAAUUGGGGGUUUAGGGAUAAAAGGUGGGUGCACGAUUGGGGGCUUGGGGAUGAAGGGUGGGUGCACAAUUGGGGGCUUGGGGAUGAAGGGUGGGUGCACAAUUGGGGGUUUAGGGAUGAAGGGUGGGUGCACAAUUGGGGGUUUAGGGAUGAAGGGUGGGUGCACAAUUGGGGGUUUAGGGAUGAAGGGUGGGUGCACAAUUGGGGGCUUGGGGAUGAAGGGUGGGUGCACAAUUGGGGGCUUGGGGUGGGGUGGUGGUUUGACAAUAGGAGGCUUGGGGAUGAAGGGAGGUCUCACAAUAGGUGGUUUGGGGACAGAAGGAGGUUUUGGUAUAUGGGGAGGAUAUACAAUGGGGGGUUUGGGGCCAUGAGGUGGCUUGGGUACAUGGGGUGGAUGAGGAUGAGGUGGCUUUGAUGGUGGCUUGGGAACAUAGGGAGGCUUUACAUGAGGGGGAUGGGGUGGUUUUGAUGGUGGUUUGGGAACAUAGGGAGGCUUUACAUGAGGAGGAAGAGGUGGUUUUGAUGGUGGUUUGGGAACAGAGGGAGGCUUUACAUGAGGGGGAUGAGGUGGGUGUUUAGGUGGUUUAGGGAUGAAGGGUGGCUUUACAUGAGGAGGCUGUUUGGGUGGCAAGUGUGGAGGGUAUGUUGGUGGUGGACAGUAGGAGUUAGCAAGAGAAGUGAGCAAACUACCCAAAUUCACAAUGAGGACUAAGAGCAAAGCCAGGGUAUAAUUCCCCAUGUUCAAAACUCCACAACCCUCAAAAGAGUUGGGUUGUUUAAGACCGGAUAUUGAAACCCAACACCAUGCAAAAGCCUUCUUAUAGAGAUAUGGUGAGACAAGUUGUGAGUGAGUAUGUACAUAAGAGAGAGAGAGAGAGAGAGAGAGAGAGAGAGAGAGAGAGAGAACACAAUCCUGUACCUUUCUUUGUGGUACCAACUAAAGAUAUAUAAAACUAUUAAUCUCUGUGCAUAAUUAAUUAAUUUGUCAAAUUGCCAAGAUGCACAUUGAAUUGAGGUCUCUCCAAACUCCAAACUUCAACUUGAUCAGUAUCAAAUUCACCACAAACAAAAGGGAGGAAUUGAGUCACUUUCUUCCUUUACAUUCAGAACCAAGUAGGGCACUGCAAUCACUGACUUAAACUGUAGACAAAAGUAUUCAGCUUUUAAGGAGAAAAGGAUCAAGAAAACGCGGUUUUGUGAUAGAGGCAAGUUUUAACAUGUAGUGAGAGCCUUGCAAGUGACUAUUCAACCCGUGAUUGAGGUUUUGAUGCCAAGCCACAUGUGAGGCUUUCAUUGACAACAUUUUCUUGCAUUAAAAAAUUCUAAGGGUACAAAAGAGGCCUUAGACUUUUUCUACUUAAAGCACAUGGUUUUUCCUUUUUUCAUUUUUUGGGGGUUUUCUCCCGAAUAGACGAGUCCAUUAAUGCUACAAUGUUUUAGUCUAAGAAAUAUUCCUAUAUGAAUAGACCGUACAAUUGUAUUUGAGUGUCGGUUAUCUUAAUUUAUUAUUUUUUAUAUAAACGAUAUUGUAUUUUAAUUUAAUCCAUACUAUAAAAAGAAUUAUUUAAAUUUAGAUACAAAAUAAAGAACACAUUUGUUCUAACUAACUUAAUUAAUCCUAUGUGUGCAAUUAUUUUUUACAAUUAAACAACUCGAUUUGAUGUAGGAAUUUUCCUUGUACAAUUUAACUUGCUCGCUUUGCAAUUUCAUUUCAAAAAAGUAUAUGCAUGGCCUAGCCAUCAUGUCUUUCAAAUCAACAGCUCAUCAUAGGGCAUCUUUUUAAAAUGAGGGUAAUGCUGGCUUCACAUGCAGCUGCACAAUAAUUUCAAGAAUUAUUAAUCGUACCUAGCAUUGUUAGCAAGACAUUUAGGGCUGUAAUUAUGUGAAAAGUGAUGUUCGCCGAAUCAAUUAUAUAAGGAGAACUUACUGCAAAACAACUCUGUGUGGAACCCAUCUACUUGUUCUUUGUUUUUUUUAGGUCUGAAGUCCAUCUACUUGUUCACUCCACGCCAUUGAAGUGUAGUCUAUCUAAAAUGGUAAGGGUGCCCUAGUUUAGGCGUAAGUACUAUGUGCAGGGUUUUGGGUUUUUCUUUGUAGACAAAAACCUAGAAGUAUCAUAUCUACAUUGUUCUGACUAUUAAAAAAUUAGACAAAGGGGUAAUGAUUAUGCCAAAAUGAAUUUCAACAUCACUUUCGACCGACAAAAUUUCAUUUGCUUAUAUCGAAGCUCGUAUUGAAAUUUAUUAAUUUUAACAAAGUUAGAAUAUGUCAUCUGUCACGUAAUUUGGUGAAUAAAUUUUAUCUUUCGGUGCCUCUACAAUAUUAAAGCAUCAAAUAGUGCAAAUCAUGACAUCUUAUUUCAACGUUCAUUAACAGACCUUCAUACAAUCAAGGCAUCGGAUGCAAGUAGGGUGGUAGAUUUUUUCCCCUUUUCAACCCAAUAAUAUGAGUUAAAACAAUUAUAUGUGGAACACAAUAACACCGCUUUAAUAAUUCUAUCUAAAAGGGUAUAUGCGACAGCUGGCCAAGAGGUAUAUUCCAUGUACACAAAAUGUUACUUUCAACUACAUGCCAAUAUUUCUACAGCGAAAAUUCCAAAUCAACAUGCAAAGGGAAAAUGAAAUGGGAUGUACUUGCUGUAGUGCCUGUUUGGAUAGAAAGAAAGGAAAAGAAAAGAAAAGAAAAUUCAUUUCUUGGAGAAACCAGAAAUUGAGUU